GGUAGUAGCAAAUAUUCAAAUGAGAGCUUUGAAGACCGAAGUGGAGAAAGGUUCCAUGUGAACAGCAGUUGGACAUGGGUUAGUCGAUCCUAAGAGAUAGGGAAAUUCCGUUUGCAAGCGCCCGAUCUUGGGCCGCCUAUCGAAAGGGAAUCGGGUUAAUAUUCCCGAACCGGGACGCGGAUAUUGCCGUUCGCGGCAGAUGCGGUAACGCAAACGAACCCGAAGACGCUGGCGGGGGCCCUGGGAAGAGUUCUCUUUUCUUUUUAACGAGCUUUCACCCUGAACUCAGCUUGCCUGGAGAUAGGGUUUAAUGCUCGGUAAAGCACCACACUUCUUGUGGUGUCCGGUGCGCUCUCGACGGCCCUUGAAAAUUCGGGGAAGACAUUGAUUUUCGUGUCCGGUCGUACUCAUAACCGCAGCAGGUCUCCAAGGUGAGCAGCCUCUAGUU
Molecule: ribosomal RNA, 448 nt
Filed under: Nematostella vectensis (starlet sea anemone)
Lineage: Eukaryota; Metazoa; Cnidaria; Anthozoa; Actiniaria; Edwardsiidae
Description: Eukaryotic large subunit ribosomal RNA
Rfam family: Eukaryotic large subunit ribosomal RNA
Source: Rfam by way of RNAcentral